AUUGAACGCUGGCGGCAGGCCUCACACAUGCAAGUCGAGCGCGCGGCGGACGGGUGAGUAAUGUCUGGGAAACUGCCUGAUGGAGGGGGAUAACUCCUGGAAACGGUAGCUAAUACCGCAUACCAUCGGAUGUGCCCAGAUGGGAUUAGCUAGUAGGUGGGGUAAAGGCUCACCUAGUCGACGAUCCCUAGCUGGUCUGAGAGGAUGACCAGCCACAAUGGAACUGAGACACGGUCCAGAAUCCUACGGGGGGCAGCAGUGGGGAAUAUUGCACAAUGGGCGCAAGCCUGAUGCAGCCAUGCGGCGUGUAUGAAGAAGGCCUUCGGGUUGUAAAGUACUUUCAGCGGGGAGGCGUUACCCGCAGAAGAAGCACCGGCUAACUCCGUGCCAGCAGCCGCGGUAAUAU
This 406-nucleotide ribosomal RNA is filed under the name uncultured bacterium. RNAcentral's name for it is "partial 16S ribosomal RNA". It matches the Rfam family "Bacterial small subunit ribosomal RNA", at positions 30 to 526 of the family's 1533-position model. The record is from RNAcentral.